AACAGCUGCAAUCAUUCCAAUAAUCCUAUGUAACGCCCUCAAUAGUUCCACAUGAAAUGGGAUACUGAUUUUGAUUAGUUUAUAUAAGACUUUAUACGCUAGUUGUAAUAACUGAGCUUAAAUAUUUUGGACCGGUGGUUUGGCCCAAUGAAUUAUUAUUGUUAGUUUGUCGGGUCGUUACAAUUGAUAUCAAAGCCGAAUAUCUGCCAAAAAUAUGAGAGCUAAGUACUAUGUGUGGCAAUCCUAAUCUGUCUGGAUGGAAUACUAAUUCCGAUUAGUUUAUAUGAAGCCUAGUCCAACUAAUUCCUCCAUAGUCCCACAAAUUCCCCCAAUAGUCCAACUAAUUCCUCCACAAAUUCCCCCAAUAGUCCAACAUCGCCCACAAAUUCCCCCAAUAGUUCAACAUCGGAUGGGGUUUAAGCAUUUUGAACCGGUGGUUUAGCCCAACGAGUUAUUAUUGUUAACGGGUUGGAUCGAAUCGUUACAUCAUAUUUGUGAAAAUUACUAAGAGG
RNAcentral lists this long non-coding RNA (512 nucleotides) under Ananas comosus (pineapple). RNAcentral's name for it is "long non-coding RNA (ACOM_LNC018770)". The record is from RNAcentral. Lineage: Eukaryota; Viridiplantae; Streptophyta; Magnoliopsida; Poales; Bromeliaceae.